This 264-nucleotide ribosomal RNA is filed under the name Chloealtis conspersa. RNAcentral describes it as "partial 16S ribosomal RNA". The stretch from base 1 to 164 matches the Rfam family "Archaeal large subunit ribosomal RNA", at positions 1945 to 2143 of the family's 2987-position model. Lineage: Eukaryota; Metazoa; Arthropoda; Insecta; Orthoptera; Acrididae. The record is from RNAcentral.
UUUGACCUGCUCACUGAAUAUUUUUAAAGAGCCGCGGUAUUUUGACCGUGCAAAGGUAGCAUAAUCAUUAGUCUUUUAAUUAAAGGCUGGAAUGAAUGGUUUGACGAGAAAUUAACUGUCUCUUAAUAAAUUUUAGAAUUUAACUUUUAAGUUAAAAGGCUUAAAUUUUUCUUUAGGACGAGAAGACCCUAUAGAGCUUAACAUUUUAUUUAUAUAUAUAUUUAAGAUGGUUUUUAUAUAUUUAAUGUUAAUGUUUUGUUGGGG